RNAcentral lists this ribosomal RNA (252 nucleotides) under uncultured bacterium. RNAcentral describes it as "partial 16S ribosomal RNA". It matches the Rfam family "Bacterial small subunit ribosomal RNA", at positions 525 to 776 of the family's 1533-position model. The record is from RNAcentral.
ACGGAGGGUCCAAGCGUUAAUCGGAAUUACUGGGCGUAAAGCGCGCGUAGGCGGUUUAGCAAGUUGUAUGUGAAAGCCCUGGGCUCAACCUAGGAACUGCAUCCAAAACUACUAAGCUAGAGUACGAGAGAGGAGAGUAGAAUUUCUGGUGUAGCGGUGAAAUGCGUAGAUAUCAGAAGGAAUACCAAUGGCGAAGGCAGCUCUCUGGCUCGUAACUGACGCUGAGGUGCGAAAGCGUGGGUAGCAAACAGG